UUAACCCAACAGCUGCGUUGCGCCUGGUGGGUUAUUUUGUUGGGUUAUUCUUCCAGUGUUGGGUCGUUUUUUGAGUCACCCGAACGCUGGGUUAUCAGUUGGGUCCAAUUGAGUGACGGUUGAGAGAGCAAACUCCUCCUCGACGAUUCCGACAAACUUUAUAUUCCCAGCUUUUGAUCCACCUCAGGAAAAAGAGAGUACAGAUGUUAUACGGAGAAAAGAAAGAAACCCUCCUGAUGGACAUCCACUUCGCAAAGUGCACACCACACUGUUACCUACAAACUCCCAGGAAAAGAAUCCUCUUCAGUAAGACUGCUCCAUGGAUAUGUCAGGUUAAGCAAUACUUGAACCGAAAGAACUAACGCUGUUUAAAAUGUUUUGUGAGUUUAAAUGAAGAGGAAAGUUCUCUGACUAAUACAUUCCAUGCAAAUAUCAACCAAUACCAUGAAAAAAAAAGUUUUUACUAAAGGUUUUUACUGUACUAACUGCAGCUAAUCAACAUUUGGUGGUUCAAAUACCCGUGUGAGGUCUCUCUUCAAGUUAAGGUAUUAUUGCUUCAUGUUUGUACAUUUAAGUUCACAGAAAUCCCACAAAGUUUGUUGCCUCCUAAAUACGGUGUCCUUUUUCACAUACAUAAUGCUUGUAUAUUUCAUUUUUUUAUAGAAAACUUGUGCAUAUGUAGUGGGAUGGCCUUUUUUUAAGAGUAGUCUGCGUGGCCCCUUUAAAAAUAGCGGAACAUUAAGUGGGUGGGUACGUCAGGUAAUUACGUACCUAUAUAGAUUCAGGUGAGUUAAGUGCGUCAUGACAUUGCAUCGAUGUGACCUGUUUGUGUUGCUCUUGAAUCUCCUUCACUCCUCGAGAAAGGUAGGCUCUGUUAAACUGGUGGAUCAUAGACGGGAGGGAAAUAUAAAUCUAGAAUAGGGGUGUUAGGAAUUUAACUUAAUUCACAAGUUUGCUUAAUGUGCUUGCUUGAUGUAAUUUUAGAUUAGUCGGGAUUUGUCCAGACAUUGCUAGUGAGCAUGUGUGAGUGAGUGUCUUGCACGUGAAAGAAGUUGCUAGCUGCUGUUUUGCUGUGGUUAAAAUAUCGUUUCCUGUUUGGGAGGCGGGAUUCUCUUGUUGCAUUGAACGCUCGUGAUUGCAUGGACUGCUCGCGAUCGCCUUGAACGUUGUACAACGCACACGUUGGAUACGACGCCUAUACAACGCUCACCUUGGAUACGCUCUAAACCCGUGGCCGUUGACUCUGGUGCCAUCGGGGCUCGCUCAUGUCGCUGGCGUAUUUUCAUUUGAUUUGAGUCUAUUCAUUGUUUGUGUAUUUGGUUUAAAUGUGUGUGUAACAGAGUGAAAUUGAAAUUUCGUUUUGUUACGCUGCUUUAUUGUAUUAUUAUUAUUAUUAGGUAUUGUUUAUUUACCAAUUUAUUUAGUCUGUUCCUUUCUUUAUUUGGGUUGGUUGUAUUCUUUCGUUGUCUCGCUUUACAUUUAUCCCGCUCUAUUUCGGAAUUUAGUAAUUGUGGUUUAUUUGUUCUGUUGCUCUUUUGGCCUUGGUUUAUCUGAUUGGCGUUGAGUGGGUUUAAAUUAAUUAUAUAGUUUUGGUUGGUUUGAAGUGUUUUGAUUUGCAUUUAUUUUGUUUUCUGAAUGGAGUGGUGAAGUGUUCAAGCCAAGACAUAACGUGAAAGACGGGAACCAACUUUAAUUUAUUUGUUGUGAAUUGUAUCUUUGUAAGUAUAUUUUUUCCUUUCUUUUUGGGUGCGUGUGGCCAGUGUAUGGGUGGCCGGCCCAGUAGGAACUGUCUAAACAAAGCCCAGUGGGAUGAUUCCUUCAUAUUUAUUAAAUUUUAUCACUGAUGUUGAG
This is a long non-coding RNA of Triplophysa dalaica, 1851 nucleotides long. RefSeq lists it as uncharacterized. The transcript is spliced from 3 exons. NCBI's taxonomy places the organism in Eukaryota, Metazoa, Chordata, Actinopteri, Cypriniformes, Nemacheilidae. The record is from RefSeq and is a predicted model, not a curated record.